Molecule: transfer RNA, 72 nt
Filed under: Candidatus Daviesbacteria bacterium
Lineage: Bacteria; Candidatus Daviesiibacteriota
Description: tRNA-Ile
Rfam family: tRNA
About the family: Transfer RNA (tRNA) molecules are approximately 80 nucleotides in length. Their secondary structure includes four short double-helical elements and three loops (D, anti-codon, and T loops). Further hydrogen bonds mediate the characteristic L-shaped molecular structure. tRNAs have two regions of fundamental functional importance: the anti-codon, which is responsible for specific mRNA codon recognition, and the 3' end, to which the tRNAs corresponding amino acid is attached (by aminoacyl-tRNA synthetases). tRNAs cope with the degeneracy of the genetic code in two manners: having more than one tRNA (with a specific anti-codon) for a particular amino acid; and 'wobble' base-pairing, i.e. permitting non-standard base-pairing at the 3rd anti-codon position.
Source: RNAcentral
GGGCGGAUAGCUCAACGGUAGAGCAAAUCUCUUAUACAGAUUUGGUUCCAGGUUCAAAUCCUGGUCCGCCCA